UCCAAUGUGGUGUAGUGGCUAACAUUGCUGUCUUUCAUGAGGUGGACGCACAGUAGCCCGGGGUUCGAUUCCCCGCAUUGGAA
This is a transfer RNA of 83 nucleotides. It matches the Rfam family "tRNA". From Rfam's summary of the family: Transfer RNA (tRNA) molecules are approximately 80 nucleotides in length. Their secondary structure includes four short double-helical elements and three loops (D, anti-codon, and T loops). The record is from Rfam.